UAGGCUCUGCUGCUUUGGAUUUCUGUUAUUGUCAUGAUGUAAGUCUGGAAGAUGAUUAUGAGAUGAUGAACAGACCUUCUUUUAACAGAAAACAGUCAGCAGGCUGCGAAUGUAUAUGUGCAGAGCUAAAGCCAGCUUCAAAAGAAGCAAGUCCUCACUGUAAUUUGGAGCAGCGCUGUAUCCUUAAUUACUUUGGAUGCCUGUAGUGGCUUCCCUGAGACGCCGUCCCACCAGCCCAGCACUACAAAAAGCACCGGCUUUGACUAGCUCACAGACCUGACCUGUCUGCUCCGCCAGGUUUGGUAGUAACAGGACAGAAACUAAUUGUCUUGAACAGAUUAUGCCACAAGGGAUUGCCCUUUGCUAAGUUCAGCUUCAGCCACUUAGUCAGAUAAAGGAUAAAAGGGAUGGUGGCUCGCGGUGCCGCCGCUUGCCCUGACUUGUGGUCUCAAGCAAUUGCACAACCAGGAUCUACCUGCGAUCACGCUCUGCGACUCGGAGGCAUUUUUAAAAGCCUCAGAUUUAUUUGUUCUGCUGGGACCUAUGUAAACAUAAACAGGAGCGCCCCUUUGGGUGACAUUCCAGAGGCCCGGCGGUGUUUGCACGCUUUCAUCUCCGAGCAGGUGACG
Nothoprocta perdicaria is the source of this 629-nucleotide long non-coding RNA. RefSeq lists it as uncharacterized. NCBI's taxonomy places the organism in Eukaryota, Metazoa, Chordata, Aves, Tinamiformes, Tinamidae. The record is from RefSeq and is a predicted model, not a curated record. The transcript has 3 exons.